Molecule: long non-coding RNA, 248 nt
Filed under: Monodelphis domestica (gray short-tailed opossum)
Lineage: Eukaryota; Metazoa; Chordata; Mammalia; Didelphimorphia; Didelphidae
Description: lncRNA (ENSMODG00000049290.1)
Source: RNAcentral
AAGACUUGACUUGCUUGAGACUGUCCUAUUGUUCUAUGACAGGAAUCACUUAAGAUGCCUCACACCAGACCCAGCCCAGUGGAGUUCCAUAUUUCUCUUUGGAGGAACGAAGAGAUGCUGUUUGCGUGGAUAGGUCCUCCGAUAAGCUUCUUUGUAUAAGCUUUUUUUCUAUAGGACUGAAGAGACUCAGAAUUAGCCUCUUCCAAAUCUCAUUUUAUUAUGUGAAAUAAAAGAAGAUGGUGGAAGAU